This 508-nucleotide ribosomal RNA is filed under the name uncultured bacterium. Its description in RNAcentral is "partial 16S ribosomal RNA". It matches the Rfam family "Bacterial small subunit ribosomal RNA", at positions 28 to 523 of the family's 1533-position model. The record is from RNAcentral.
GAUGAACGCUAGCUACAGGCUUAACACAUGCAAGUCGAGGGGAAACGACAUCGAAAGCUUGCUUUUGAUGGGCGUCGACCGGCGCACGGGUGAGUAACGCGUAUCCAACCUGCCCACCACUUGGGGAUAACCUUGCGAAAGUAAGACUAAUACCCAAUGAUAUCUCUAGAAGACAUCUGAAAGAGAUUAAAGAUUUAUCGGUGAUGGAUGGGGAUGCGUCUGAUUAGCUUGUUGGCGGGGUAACGGCCCACCAAGGCAACGAUCAGUAGGGGUUGUGAUGAGAAGGCCCCCCACAUUGGAACUGAGACACGGCACAAACUCCAAGGGGCGGAAGCAGUGAGGAAGAUUGGUCAAUGGACGAGAGUCUGACCCAGCCAAGUAGCGUGCAGGAUGACGGCCCUAUGGGUUGUAAACUGCUUUUAUAAGGGAAUAAAGUGAGUCUCGUGAGGCUUUUUGCAUGUACCUUAUGAAUAAGGACCGGCUAAUUCCGUGCCAGCCGCCGCCGUAA